RNAcentral lists this ribosomal RNA (207 nucleotides) under uncultured bacterium. Its description in RNAcentral is "partial 16S ribosomal RNA". It matches the Rfam family "Bacterial small subunit ribosomal RNA", at positions 524 to 730 of the family's 1533-position model. The record is from RNAcentral.
UACGUAGGGUGCAAGCGUUGUCCGGAAUUAUUGGGCGUAAAGAGCUCGUAGGCGGUUUGUCGCGUCGAAUGUGAAAACCCGGGGCUCAACCCCGGGCCGCAUUCGAUACGGGCAGACUAGAGUUCGGUAGGGGAGUCUGGAAUUCCUGGGUGUAGCGGUGAAAUGCGCAGAUAUCUGGAGGAACACCGGUGGCGAAGGCGGCAGUCC